This 439-nucleotide ribosomal RNA is filed under the name uncultured bacterium. RNAcentral's name for it is "partial 16S ribosomal RNA". It matches the Rfam family "Bacterial small subunit ribosomal RNA", at positions 339 to 795 of the family's 1533-position model. The record is from RNAcentral.
CUACGGGCCGCUGCAGUGAGGAAUAUUGCACAAUGGGGGGAACCCUGAUGCAGCAACGCCGCGUGGAGGAUGACGCAUUUCGGUGUGUAAACUCCUUUUAUAUGUCAAGAAAAUGACGGUAGCAUAUGAAUAAGCACCGGCUAACUCCGUGCCAGCAGCCGCGGUAAUAGGGAGGGUGCAAGCGUUACUCGGAAUCACUGGGCGUAAAGGACGCGUAGGCGGGUUGGAAAGUCAGGUGUGAAAUCCUACAGCUUAACUGUAGAACUGCACUUGAAACUUCUAAUCUAGAGUAUGGGAGGGGGAGAUGGAAUUAGUGGUGUAGGGGUAAAAUCCGUAGAUAUCACUAGGAGUACCUAAAGCGAAGGCGAUCUCCUGGAACAUUACUGACGCUAAGGCGUGAAAGCGUGGGGAGCAAACAGGAUUAGAUACCCCAGUAGUC